Molecule: ribosomal RNA, 1349 nt
Filed under: uncultured bacterium
Lineage: Bacteria
Description: bacterial SSU rRNA
Rfam family: Bacterial small subunit ribosomal RNA
Source: RNAcentral
GAGUUUGAUCCUGGCUCAGGACGAACGCUGGCGGCGUGCUUAACACAUGCAAGUCGAACGGAAAGGCCCCGCUCGCGGGGUACUCGAGUGGCGAACGGGUGAGUAACACGUGGGUGAUCUGCCCUGCACUUCGGGAUAAGCCUGGGAAACUGGGUCUAAUACCGGAUAUGACCUCCCUUUAGUGUGGGGGGUGGAAAGAUUUAUCGGUGCAGGAUGAGCCCGCGGCCUAUCAGCUUGUUGGUGGGGUAAUGGCCUACCAAGGCGUCGACGGGUAGCCGGCCUGAGAGGGUGGACGGCCACAUUGGGACUGAGAUACGGCCCAGACUCCUACGGGAGGCAGCAGUGGGGAAUAUUGCACAAUGGGCGGAAGCCUGAUGCAGCGACGCCGCGUGGGGGAUGACGGCCUUCGGGUUGUAAACCUCUUUCGACAGGGACGAAGUGAAAAUGACGGUACCUGUAUAAGAAGCACCGGCUAACUACGUGCCAGCAGCCGCGGUAAUACGUAGGGUGCGAGCGUUGUCCGGAAUUACUGGGCGUAAAGAGCUCGUAGGUGGUUUGUCACGUCGUCUGUGAAAUUCCGGGGCUUAACCUCGGGCGUGCAGGCGAUACGGGCAAUACUUGAGUGCUGUAGGGGAGACUGGAAUUCCUGGUGUAGCGGUGACAUGCGCAGAUAUCAGGAGGAACACAAUGGCGAAGGCAGGUCUCUGGGCAGUUACUGACGCUGAGGAGCGAAAGCAUGGGUAGCGAACAGGAUUAGAUACCCUGGUAGUCCAUGCCGUAAACGGUGGGCGCUAGGUGUAGGGGACUUCCACGUUCUCUGUGCCGUAGCUAACGCAUUAAGCGCCCCGCCUGGGGAGUACGGCCGCAAGGCUAAAACUCAAAGGAAUUGACGGGGGCCCGCACAAGCGGCGGAGCAUGUGGAUUAAUUCGAUGCAACGCGAAGAACCUUACCUGGGCUUGACAUACACCGGACCGGCGUAGAGAUACGUCUUCCCUUGUGGCCGGUGUACAGGUGGUGCAUGGUUAUCGUCAGCUCGUGUCGUGAGAUGUUGGGUUAAGUCCCGCAACGAGCGCAACCCUUGUCUUAUGUUGCCAGCACGUGAUGGUGGGGACUCAUGAGAGACUGCCGGGGUCAACUCGGAGGAAGGUGGGGAUGACGUCAAAUCAUCAUGCCCCUUAUGUCCAGGGCUUCACACAUGCUACAAUGGUCGGUACAGCAGGUCGCGAACUCGUGAGAGUAAGCCAAUCCCUCAAAGCCGGCCUCAGUUCGGAUUGGGGUCUGCAACUCGACCCCAUGAAGUCGGAGUCGCUAGUAAUCGCAGAUCAGCAACGCUGCGGUGAAUACGUUC